AUGCAACCCGAACCAGCUGAUCCAGUCUCAUCUUCUUGCGCAUCUCUUCUACGUGGACAUUUCUUGAGUAGCUACAGCCUUUUAUUUUUGAAAUGUUUCAGUAGCUAUAGCUGGAUCCUCGAAGAGAUCUUCCAGGUAGUGGGGAUGGAUGAGCGUCCAAGGGUUGUGGACGUGUACAUGCACCUCGAUUGCUAUAGUUACAAGGCAUGCAUCGAAACUCUUCGUGCGCAGCUCGCCAAGCACCCAGAACACGAGGGCAACAUCUCCGACUACGGUGACUGGAUCAAAGAUCAUCCUCUGCUCCCCACGGAAGAAUCCUGUCAGCCGAAGAGGUUGAUGCACGUUCAUUUAAUAACGGAGGCGACAAGGAAGACAACCCUGGCCAUCCGGGAUGACAACAUGUACCUGAUUGGUUUCAGUAACGGGAGUGGGAAGUGGUACGAGUUCGGUGUGAACAAUGGCAAACAGGUGCCCUUCCUAACCGAGUCCACCUUUUUAGGGUGCGAGUCUGACUAUGGAUCCUUACUUGCCGGCAAGGGGAAUGAGGCCAAUAGGUGCCUGGGUGGAGUGAAGCUGGGGUUAAGACGUGCGCAACAAGCCGCGUGUCACCUGUCGUCCUACAACCAGGGGGCGGACGCAAUUGCUGGCACAGAAACCAAAAAACAUUUGCUGUGCUUGAUUAUUAUGAUCAGCGAGGGUGCUCGGAUGUUUCCGCACUACGACAGAGUCAUAGAUGGUCGGAGCACAGAGAUAUUUCUCGACGAUCGCGAGGUAAAACUUGUGAAUGAAUGGAGCAGCAUUUCAAAGGCAAUGAUAACGGCCAAGUAUUCCAAAACUCUGACAGAUCUGCAGAUUGAGGACCUAACCAGCGCAUGCCGUGUAGUUUGCCUGCUGAAAAAGUCAUCACAGCUGAAGAAAGCCCAAGAAAAGCAGCAGCUUCCGUCAUCAGAACAUGGCCAGGAAAAAGGAUCCCGGGGGCGGGGGCGGGGCCGGGGCCGGGGCGAUGGCCGUAAAGGUGGACGUGGAGGCCGCCAUGUCCCGAAGGAGUCAAAGGACCAGGAGCCACCGAAAUCAGAACAUGGCACACGGCAACAGCAGCAGGACGAGGAGGAGGCGCCCCUGACUUCUCCAGAACAAGGCCCACCGCAGCAGGAGGUGGGGGAGCAGGAGCAGGAGGGGGUGUUAAGGGAGGAAGAAGAGGAAGAUGAGCAGGAGCAGGAGCAGGAAUAUGACGACGAGGAUGGCGAUGACAACCACAACGAUGAUGAUGAUGAUGAUGAUGAUGAUGAUGAUGAUGAUGAUGAUGAUGAUGAUGAUGAUGGGCAAUUCCUGAUGGAGGUGUUUUCUGUGCGUGCCAACUCAGGCUUGGUCAGCAACAUCGCCGUCUUCGACGGGAAACGCGGCCAGAUCAUCUACAACCACGACGGACAAGGAGACGCUACAAUCGACUCUGAGGAUACUAAUUUGCAACUGACUGGACCAUAUAGAGCCAUCUCAGCUGAUGGACGCGUCGCUAUUCAAGUUACCAGCAUCCCCGCAACAGAUGCCUCUGACCAAUCCAGCAGUGUGCAAUGGGCCACCCUGUGGGACGGCUACGCCGACGACGCUGUGCAUGACAAGCUCUUGAUGGAGACCAUCGCCACAGGGACCAGCACGAAGGCGGUGGUGACCUACGUGGUGCUGAGCAACGCCAUAGAGGCCACCGUGCAGGUCCAGCUGAAGCUGAAUACAGUCACAACCGACGGGGUCCGCAUCAACGGCCAAAUCACCGCAAAAAUCGAACAAUUCAGCGACGAGAGCGUACUCUUCAGACAUCCUCAUAACGAAGAAGUGGAGUUACUCCCCUCGUCCGAUGGCUUAACAAUUCCUGUUCCACUGGCAAGGUCUGUCGUUGCGGUGCCACUCUACUCACCGCUCGUGGUAAAUGUCAAGCUUUACGUGGCAAUUUCUCCCAACCAUAAGGAUAUGGUAUUCUAUGAAAAAAAUCUUGUUUUCGACCCCCGUACGAUCUCGGACAAGAUCGAAUGGCCCGGUGUGCUUGUUCAAGUGACGAUCACCUCGGAGGACAUCCAACAUCCCCAAGAACGAAGCAACGCAACACCCGUUGCAGCACCAUCGACAAGCACUCCUUUGCAGCCUACGACUUCGGUUCCAGACAACCCACCAAGUAUACUAAAUACUACUACAGGCAAAGAUCCCAGACCCUCGAGUGUUAAUGAAGGCAUGUUGAUCGACACAGCAGAGGAUGGGCCAAAAUCUGAGGGUUUGUCACCGAUGCCUUUGGACCGGAGUACAGUCACUCAGAAUUAUCAAGAGGGAGGAAAGGCAUCCAUUGAGAUACAAGAAGCACCUGACACAGCCAUUGAUACUACGGCACCCACAACUCCAGCACCAGUUGUGAGCUACAUCCCUAAAGCUACAACCAGGACAGAAUGGAAGGGGGACCUGCUGGUUGAGGUUGCCUUGGUCAAGUGCGUGUUGGAGGGUGCACUGACAAAGGCCAAGUCAACGAUCGCAAAGGAGACAAAACUGCAGCAGAGGGCACUGCGUGACCUGACCUUCAUCAUUGGCGAGUUACAGAACAUGAAGUCCUCGCUCGACGUCGUGAACGAAGAAAGCGUCAAGAACAGUCUAGUGAAGUCCUGGGUGAUGCAGAUUGAGGAACUAGCCUACUACGUGGAUGGCCGCAUGGAACUUAUUCUGGAGAUGGACAAGGAGUCCGGACGGUUGCGUCGUCGGUUGUUUCGUCACUUGUCGGAGAUGGUCCCGACAGUUGCUCGUCGGUUGUUUCCUCACUGGUCGGAGAUGGUCCCGACAGUUGCUCGUCGGUUGUUUCCUCACUUGUCGGAGAUGGUCCCGACGGUUCCUCGUCGGUUGCGCUGCAUGUCUCGGACGACGCUGCGACUUAAGGACGGAAUCGCGGAGAUAAAGCUGCUCAAGGGUAUGAUCGAAGACGUGAGCAGGAGGAACGCACCCAACAGCCUCGCGGGCCUCUUCAGAGUCGUCUCUAGUUCCAACAACAAGACAGACGGCGUGCAGCAACAGCAGACCGUGCGCACUGUAACAGUCGUCAAUGGCGCACCAGAGCUCUAUAUGCUACUAGAGGGAAGUGAUGCGACCACAACGCAGCAAGGCGACCUCACCCAGUUGCUUACCAAGAGAGAUGACGACCUUCAAGUCAUCUCACUGUGUACAAGAGGCGAUUUUGGGAGUAUAUCCAUCAUCAGGAAGUCCUACAGUGACCCCCAAGUCUGCCAUAAUUUCGGAUGCCGCGCCUGGGUGAAGCUCACGCAGCCUUUUAAUCCCCAAGAGUUCGUCCGGUGCUUGAUGUCCCAGUUCUACACAAACAAUUGCGAAGAAGAGGGUUUAAUCACAGGCAUGGAAGUACUAAUGAAGAUGGAAGAACUAAUGAAGAUGGAAGAUAAAGCUACUCAUGUUAUGAAAGGUGGUCUGUUAGAAGAGUUCGCUCAAAAAGUCAGCAAUAAAAGGUAUCUGGUUGUCCUGGAGGACCUGUCCACGAUGCCAGAGUGGGAUGCUAUCAGAACAUUCCUUCCAGACAGGAAGAAUGGCAGCACAAUCAUCGUGUCGUCGCAGAAAUUUGAAGUAGCAAGCUUGUGCGUAGGACAGCCACACCAAGUAUUCGAUCUGAUGCAGUUACCUACUAAGCACGCUGUUCAUGCCUUCCUCAAGGGUCGUCGGACUGGUGAUAGAUAUGAAGGUGGCCUUCCUGUUUCUUCUACCGACAAAACCCUCCGCCCAGAAAAGGAUGCAGCCAGUGACUUGAUGCAUAGAUAUUCCCUAGUUGGACGUGAGACAGAAAUGGGUGAACUUGGUAAAUAUCUAGCUGAGGCACGUUUGAACUCUUCCCCGGUUGUUAUGUCCGUGUGGGGGAUGCCAGGCGUUGGUAAAUCAGCUCUGGUCAGACGCCUGUACCGCAACGAAAUGCUUGAUCGCCGCCGCCUAUUUGAGAAGUACAGAUGGGUGGAUGUAUCUCAUCCUUUCAGUUUAAGAGAUUUCUCUCGGAGCUUACUGAAGGAUUUUCAUCCAGAAAGAGACCCCAUUCAAGAGUGUCAGCAGCUUUUGGUGCAAUAUCAAUGCCUCAUUGUUAUUGAUGAUCUCCAGACCAAAGAAGAAUGGGAUCUGAUACGAGCUGCCUUGCUAUCUACACCCUGUCAGAGUGUUAUCAUUGUGAUUACGACGGAAGCAAGCACCGCCACAUAUUGUGCACAUGACCCAGAGGUCGUGUAUAAUGUCAAGGGUUUAGAAGACGAUGCGGCCUAUGAUCUCUUUACAGAGAAGUGUUCAUCACUUCAUCAAAAUAAUGAAGUGGUACGUCACGAUCCGGCAGUGGUACGAGAACUUAUUCUUAAAUGUGGCGGACUUCCUAAAGUAAUCGUUGCUAUAGCUGUUUUGUUGAGUACCAAGACAAUCAGUUGGAUGGAAACUGCGAAAAUUCUCAAUGAUAAAUUUAUGAAACAUUUAGAGGCCAACCCGGAGUUUGAUGGACUAGAGAAACUAUUCAGUUGGAUGCGUUCCAGCUUCUAUACAGGCCCAGAUAUUCUCAAGCCAUGUAUUUUCUACCUGCCAAUCUUUCCUGGAAACUACAUUAUUCGUCGGAGGCGACUAAUAAGGCGGUGGAUUGCAGAGGGUUACUCCAAGGACAUCAAUGAAAGAUCAGCAGAGGAGGAAGGAGAGAAUUUAUUCUCCAUGCUCCUUGAUCUGAGCAUAGUCCAGCAAGUACCACAGUCAGUCAGCAUUGUAUUCAAUGACAGUAAGAUGGUCUUGUGCCAGGUCAACAGUUUUAUCCAUGAGUACAUUAUCUCACGGCAAAUGGAAGAGAACCAUGUAUUUGUGCUGGGGGGUAGUAGUACCCUGACAACUGAACGCACAGGGCGUCAUCUUGUCAUAUUGGAGUCUUGGGACAGAGACAAAGAUGUAUUUCAGCGCAUUGAUUUCUCACGGCUGCGGUCGAUGACUGUGUUUGGAAAGUGGGAAUCAUUCUUCUCGCUCACAAUGUUUGGAAAGUCGAUUCAGGUUCUUGAUCUGGAGGGUGUAUCUGGUUUGAAGGAUGAAGAUCUUUUUAAGAUAGUGAAGCGGCUGCGCAGCCUCAAGUUUCUCUCCUUUCGAGGAUGCAGUGACAUCCACCAUCUACCAAGUUCGUUAGGUGAUCUGAGGCAUCUGCAGACUUUGGAUGCCAGAUACACCUCCAUAGUGUCACUGCCUGCAAGCAUCACCAAGUUACAGAUGCUGCAGUAUAUCCGUGUCGGCACCAGGUCAUCCAGCAGGUUGCCAGAGCCCCGCAGACGUCGUUGUGUAUUUGGUGUUGUGGUGCCUAGAGGGAUUGGAAAAUUGACAGCGGUGCACACGCUCGGUGUUGUCAAUGUCAGCGCUUCAGGAGGGAAGGCCAUUGUGGAAGAACUCAAGAAGCUCACCCAGUUGCGCAAGCUCGGGGUGUCCGGCAUCAACAGGAAGAACGGGAAACGGUUCAUCUCUGCAAUCUCAGGUCAUGUCCAUCUAGAAUCCUUGUCAGUGUGGCUCGAAAAAAAUAACGAAAGCUGCCUGGAUGACGUCCUCUUGCCUUGGGAGAACCUUCGGAGCGUGAAACUGUAUGGGCUUGGAAAAAUGUUGCCAGCACCAGGGAGGCAUCUUAGCUGGGUCAAGCUCAGGAAGUUGGAAUUGGAGAUGGCCAUUUUAACAGAAGACAGCAUGAGAUUCCUAAGCUCGCUACCACAACUAUGCAUUCUUCGUAUCAAGCUGCUUCAUAACCACGAGCUCCAUUUCCGUGUUAUGGUGCCUGGAGAAGAGGAAGAUUCUUAUAAAAAGGUCAAGGUCCUCCAGAUUGGUUGCGGUUUGAGCAACAGCAGAUUAGAUGUGACUUUCGGUUCAAAAGCAAUGAGAAAACUUGAGCUGCUCAAGAUUGACUGCUUCAGUGGGUCACCGGUAUACAAGUUCACUGGCCUAGGGAAUCUAGGAGAACUGAAGCAAGUCUUACUACCUGGCAAUUCCCACGCCCAAGCACUAAAAGAGCAACUUGAGAGCCAGUUUGCCGAGCAUCCAAACUUAGUGAAACCUGUUGUGAAGCUGGAAGAACCACCACUCUCGUCCUGA
RNAcentral lists this ribosomal RNA (6108 nucleotides) under Triticum aestivum (bread wheat). RNAcentral describes it as "partial small subunit ribosomal RNA". The record is from RNAcentral. Lineage: Eukaryota; Viridiplantae; Streptophyta; Magnoliopsida; Poales; Poaceae.